AGCUUCUCAAUACUCGAGUUUAGAAGUCGCUCCUCCGGGUUUGCAGGCAACGAAAAAGAAUGUGGUGGUGCCGCUCGGUUCUUCGCCAUGGCCAAACACUGCUGCGGCCUCCUUCCUGUCGGCCACCAUGGCUUGCUUCUUCAUUCCUUUACUCGGAUAUGCCCAACAAGAAAGGCAAACUUGCUCCCUUGCAGGAGAGGAGGAUGGUGGAUAGGUUUAGGCUGUGGGCAAAGGGAGGCGAAGGUGGAAAUGGUUGCUGCAGCUUUCGGCGCACCAGAACUGACCAACAUAGAAAACCAGAUGGUGGAAAUGGUGGAAGAGGUGGUGAUGUUAUUCUUGAAUGCUCUGCAGCAGUUUGGGACUUCAGUAAUUUGCAUCAUCACUUGAAUGCAAAAAGAGGAGGGCAUGGAGUUUCAAAGAAUCAGAUAGGGAGUCGUGGAUCUGACAAGGUUGCGCAGGUCCCGGUUGGCACAGUAGUUCACCUAGUUAGCGGUGAAAUUCCUUGUUUUGUGGAAAGUAUUUCCAUAGCAUCUUUAAAUCCUUGGGAAAUACCUGGAACUCUUGAAGGCAAUCCAUCUAAAUCGGUUCAGCAUGAUGAUAGAAGGGUCAUUGCAUCAGGUGGAUUGGAAAAGAAAAACUUUGAUGAUUCACAGUCAUAUUUUGAAAGUGAUGUUGCUAAAGCACCUGGCAAUAUGGGAUCUUCUAGAUCUACUCAAAUAGAAUGCAGAGAAGAUGUAACUCAUUCUUAUUCUGUAGUAGCCUAUACAGACAUUAAAGAUAAGGAAGUUACUGAGGAAGAAUAUGAAAUAGAAGAAGAAGAAGGAGAAGAAGAAGAGAUCGAGGAGAAAGUGAUGCAGUAUUCAGUUGCAGAAUUAACAGAACCAGGGCAGUGUAUGGUAGUUGCUCGUGGAGGUGAGGGUGGUCUGGGUAAUGCUUCUCUCAAAAAGGAUAACAAGUCCCGCAGGCGUAUGCACUAUAGUAAUGCUACCACCAGUUUUUUGGAAGGUGAAGAUCAAUCCUCAUUAACUGUUGGUAGGCCUGGCUCAGAAACUGUGCUUAUAUUAGAACUAAAGAGUAUUGCAGAUGUUGGCCUUGUUGGGAUGCCCAAUGUUGGUAAAAGCACAUUACUAGGAGCUCUUUCAAGGGCUAAGCCAGCUGUGGGUCAUUAUGCUUUUACUACUCUAAGGCCAAAUAUAGGAAAUCUGAAUUAUGAGGACUUCUUCUCAGUGAAGGUGGCUGAUAUUCCUGGGCUUAUAAAAGGAGCACAUGAGAAUCGUGGACUGGGGCAUGCUUUCCUGAGGCACAUAGAGCGUACCAAGGUUCUGGCCUUCGUUGUCGACCUGGCAGCAGCAUUGAAUGGGAAAAAGGGUAUUCCACCAUGGGAACAACUGAAAGAUUUGGUUUUGGAACUUGAAUAUCAUCAGGAAGGUUUGUCGAAUCGCCCAUCUUUAGUGGUGGCCAACAAAAUUGACGAAGAAGGGGCAGAAAAUGUGUAUGAAGAAUUAAAGAAACGAGUUCACGGCGUUCCAAUAUUUCCAAUAUGUGCUGUAUUAAAAGAGGGAGUGCCAGAAUUAAAAGCUGGUCUUCGGAGGCUCAUAGAUGGAAGUGAAUCACAGAGACUCCAUAUAGAUAGAAUUAUCAAUGACUAGCUUAAUUUGUUUGAGAUUCACAAUUGAGAAGGCUCUCGUAGGGCUUUAAGAAGAAAGGCCUUGUCGCAAAGCCAAUUCAUAGUGGGAUGUGCAGUGCGAACUGGUCACUUCAUUGCUCAGCCUCUUAGGUUGAUUAUUUAUGGAGAAUGGGCUCUAACUCUGGCAGCUUAGUUAAAUUAUCAUUUCAACCUACAUAAAACAGGGUGUUCUGUUGGCAUGGAAUAUAUUGACCUCUUCUGGCGCUGUCAAUUAUUAGCUC
RNA transcript from Elaeis guineensis (African oil palm), 1908 nucleotides. It is a transcript of the gene named probable GTP-binding protein OBGM, mitochondrial, with no coding region annotated. Lineage: Eukaryota; Viridiplantae; Streptophyta; Magnoliopsida; Arecales; Arecaceae. The record is from RefSeq and is a predicted model, not a curated record.